This 344-nucleotide unclassified non-coding RNA is filed under the name soil metagenome. RNAcentral describes it as "partial contains 5.8S ribosomal RNA, internal transcribed spacer 2, and large subunit ribosomal RNA". The stretch from base 1 to 121 matches the Rfam family "5.8S ribosomal RNA", at positions 35 to 154 of the family's 154-position model. The record is from RNAcentral.
GAUGAAGAACGCAGCGAAAUGCGAUAAGUAAUGCGAAUUGCAGAAUUUCCGUGAGUCAUCGAAUCUUUGAACGCACAUUGCGCCCGCCAGUAUUCUGGCGGGCAUGCCUGUUCGAGCGUCAUUUCAACCCUCAGGCCCCGCCUGGCGUUGGGGAUCGGCGCGGCCCUCUCCGGGCUGCCGGCCCCGAAAACUAGUGGCGGUCUCGCUGUAGUCCUCCUCUGCGCAGUAGCAACGCUCGCACUGGAACUCGGCGCGGCCACGCCGUAAAACACCCCACUUCUGAAAGUUGACCUCGGAUCAGGUAGGAAUACCCGCUGAACUUAAGCAUAUCAAUAAGCGGAGGA